RNAcentral lists this ribosomal RNA (491 nucleotides) under uncultured bacterium. RNAcentral describes it as "partial 16S ribosomal RNA". It matches the Rfam family "Bacterial small subunit ribosomal RNA", at positions 29 to 507 of the family's 1533-position model. The record is from RNAcentral.
GUGAACGCUUGCGGUAGGCCUAACCCCUGCCAGUCGCACGGCAGCACAGUAAGAGCUUGCUCUUACGGGUGGCGAGUGGCGGACGGGUGAGGAAUACAUCGGAAUCUACUUUUUCGUGGGGGAUAACGUAGGGAAACUUACGCUAAUACCGCAUACGACCUACGGGUGAAAGCAGGGGAUCUUCGGACCUUGCGCGAUUGAAUGAGCCGAUGUCGGAUUAGCUAGUUGGCGGGGUAAAGGCCCACCAAGGCGACGAUCCGUAGCUGGUCUGAGAGGAUGAUCAGCCACACUGGAACUGAGACACGGUCCAGACUCCUACGGGAGGCAGCAGUGGGGAAUAUUGGACAAUGGGCGCAAGCCUGAUCCAGCCAUACCGCGUGGGUGAAGAAGGCCCUCGGGUUGUAAAGCCCUUUUGUUGGGAAAGAAAAGCAGCAGGUUAAUACCCCGCUGUUCUGACGGUACCCAAAGAAUAAGCACCGGCUAACUUCGUG